Molecule: ribosomal RNA, 487 nt
Filed under: Candidatus Saccharicenans sp.
Lineage: Bacteria; Candidatus Aminicenantota; Candidatus Aminicenantia; Candidatus Aminicenantales; Candidatus Saccharicenantaceae
Description: bacterial SSU rRNA
Rfam family: Bacterial small subunit ribosomal RNA
Source: RNAcentral
UAACUGGAGAGUUUGAUCCUGGCUCAGAGUGAACGCUGGCGGCGUGCCUAACACAUGCAAGUCGGACGGGCUAGUGCUUCGCACUAGUUUCUUUAUGGGAUUGGUACUCUAAGGCUGCCUGUUAAAGUUGUUGCUUUAUAGCAGGGGUUUUGGGGGACUUUCCCCUAAAGGGGCAAGUGCGGAGCACUGGUCAGUGGCGAACGGGUGAGUAACACGUGGGUAACCUGCCCUCGAGCGGGGAAUAAGCUCCCGAAAGGGGGUCUAAUGCCGCAUAACGUUUCAUAACGAUGGUUAUGAAACCAAAGCCCAAAAGGCGCUUGAGGAGGGGCCUGCGUCCUAUCAGCUUGUUGGCAGGGUAACGGCCUACCAAGGCUAUGACGGGUAGCCGGCCUGAGAGGGUGUCCGGCCACACUGGAACUGAGACACGGUCCAGACUCCUACGGGAGGCAGCAGUGGGGAAUUUUGCGCAAUGGGGGAAACCCUGACG